Non-coding RNA from Sinocyclocheilus rhinocerous, 557 nucleotides. The record is from the annotation of a RefSeq genome assembly. NCBI's taxonomy places the organism in Eukaryota, Metazoa, Chordata, Actinopteri, Cypriniformes, Cyprinidae.
UUAUACCUCAGACAGCAUUCGCUCACACACACAAUACAUAUAAAGAAAUUCAAUGAAACAGAAAAGAAAUGAACAAGAAUAGAAAGGCAACUAGUGUGAUUAUCAUUAUUAUCUCACUUCUUCUGCAUUACAGCAUUGCUUCAGGUGAGAAGGACACAAUGAACCAGAUGUUUAGCAGAGGACUUCGACUUAUUGUGGAAGUUCCUCACAUCCGUAUUGAACGCCAGGUGACUCCGAAAGUGCAUGUUCUUCUCCCUGCUGGAGGUCAGAAGCAGCGAUCAGAGAGAGUGACGCUGGCGUGUGUCAUCACCGGCUUACAGUCUAAAGCGCUGAGGAUCACAUGGAAGGUAAACGGAGCCACAGGUCUGAAAAAACACGCCAGCUCUCCACAAGUGCACCGAGAGCCUGGAGGCACAUUCUGGGCUGUGGGACUGUACUCGGUUCUGGCUCAUAAAUGGAGUGCUGAGAAUAUGUACAGGUGUGAGGUGACAUACAAAGCGGCGUUUCACUAUGAUAAGGCAGAGUCGUCUCUCUGCAGUCCUCCUGAGGGACUGUAA